CGGGAAAUAGCUCAGCUUGGUAGAGCACCACGUUCGGGACGUGGGGGUCGCAGGUUCAAAUCCUGUUUUCCCGACCA
RNAcentral lists this transfer RNA (77 nucleotides) under Neobacillus mesonae. RNAcentral describes it as "tRNA-Pro". It matches the Rfam family "tRNA". Rfam says of the family: Transfer RNA (tRNA) molecules are approximately 80 nucleotides in length. Lineage: Bacteria; Bacillati; Bacillota; Bacilli; Caryophanales; Bacillaceae. RNAcentral also lists the same sequence under 2 other names. The record is from RNAcentral.